AUGCUGUGGAUGUGUCUGCUCUUGGUUUUGCUGCAGAUUUUGUUUUAUGGAUGGACUUGGCUCUGUCCUUCGGGAAGAGAUGCAGCCCUCAGCAGCCUUCGUUCCCCAGGAUGGACAGAAAGAAAUGGUGGAGCUAUGUGUGAUUUUCUCAUCUCUCAGCUCACCCAGCAGUGUGAACAAAUUGCCUGGAAAUGUCGUCAUCGGGCUUCAUCUGGCACUAUCUCCCCUUCUGUCUGGGUCAUUGAUUUCCUCAUCUCCUCUGCCUUAAAACUCACAUCAUACAUUAAUUUGCGACUCUCCAGUGCUGAAGCAGCUGCACUGUGCCUUCCCUGCUCAACACCAGCAGCUUUCAGCCUCUGAAGUGUCCUUUACUGCUGCUCAUCUGAAGACCUCCUGAAUGUGUCUCAAGUGGCCUCCCUGCCUGCUACAUAACAGCAUGUGCUCUGCCAGCUUUUAUUUCAUCACAAGAGAGCUUAGAGCUGUUCUGCUCUCGGAAAUUGGGUAAGAUUCGGUCUCCUUCCUACAAUGACUCAGUGUGCUGGAGAAAUGACUCUUGCCUUGUGCGAGCAGCUAUCGCAGUGCACAGAGCUGUGCCAGCCUCUGCUAGCCACCAGCCCCCUCGGGAGCGCCCCUGAGCCAGCAAGGAGCCGGGGCUGCUCUGCACUCUGCUCUUAUGAUUGCUAAAUAUAGAGUCCAUUGAUAAAUAAAACAAAUCCAUGAAGGGUGCA
This 728-nucleotide long non-coding RNA is filed under the name Anser cygnoides (Swan goose). RNAcentral describes it as "lncRNA (ENSACDG00005015368.1)". The record is from RNAcentral. Lineage: Eukaryota; Metazoa; Chordata; Aves; Anseriformes; Anatidae.